Long non-coding RNA from Neomonachus schauinslandi (Hawaiian monk seal), 255 nucleotides. RefSeq lists it as uncharacterized. The record is from RefSeq and is a predicted model, not a curated record. The transcript has 3 exons. Lineage: Eukaryota; Metazoa; Chordata; Mammalia; Carnivora; Phocidae.
CUGUGCGACUCCUGCCCGAUUCCCCCACCCAUCCGGCCCAGGCGCUCCUGGUUCUGAACGUGAGCUCUUCGCUUCUGUGGGCCCCAUGUUGGAAACUUGCAGAGGAAGUCGUGGGGCGGGGGCUCUCUCUUCCAGGCAGAAGGUGUGUGUGAGUGCGAGCAUGUACCGAGAGAGAGAUUUUUCUAGAAAAUUUGGAGUUAUGGAAAAGGAAAACUCUUCACGGGGCAGGGGGGACUUCCUUUGAAGUGUCAAGAU